This 141-nucleotide unclassified non-coding RNA is filed under the name uncultured Ascomycota. RNAcentral's name for it is "sequence contains ITS1". The record is from RNAcentral. Lineage: Eukaryota; Fungi; Ascomycota.
CCGUGGGGCUUCGGCCCUGUCGUGAUAGAACCCUUGCCUUUUGAGUACCGUCCGUUUCCUCGGCAGGCCCGCCUGCCAAUGGGGACCCCCCAAUAAACCCUUUUAUGUACCUGUAUCAGUCUGAAAAACAAACAAAAGUUA